This is a non-coding RNA of Pelobates cultripes (western spadefoot toad), 288 nucleotides long. The record is from the annotation of a GenBank genome assembly. NCBI's taxonomy places the organism in Eukaryota, Metazoa, Chordata, Amphibia, Anura, Pelobatidae.
GCGGGCGCGCGCGCGAGGGAGCACUCAGUGCUUCCUCUUCACCUCCCUCGCGCGCCGCAUAGGGAUGCCGGUGCCGGAAGAUGACGUCAUCUUCCGGCUCCGGUAUCAGUGCGGUGCGCGAGGGAGGUGAAGAGACUCACUAACACACACACACACUCAAUAAGACACACACACUAACACUCACUAGCAGACACACACACUAACACUCACUCUAAGACUCACUCUAAGACACACUCUAACACACUCACUAACACUCAAACACUCACACACACUAACACUCACUCUAAC